This 463-nucleotide ribosomal RNA is filed under the name uncultured bacterium. Its description in RNAcentral is "partial 16S ribosomal RNA". It matches the Rfam family "Bacterial small subunit ribosomal RNA", at positions 28 to 507 of the family's 1533-position model. The record is from RNAcentral.
GAUGAACGCUGACAGAAUGCUUAACACAUGCAAGUCUUUGGCGAAGCUGUGCUUGCACAGCCUAGCCAAGGCGGACGGGUGAGUAACGCGUAAGGAACUUGCCCUGCAGUCAGGGAUAACAGACGGAAACGACUGAUAAGACCUGGUAAAGUCAGGCGGACUCAUGUCCAGCCUGAUGAAAAGUGAUGCUGCAGGAGAGCCUUGCGUCCUAUUAGCUUGUUGGUGGGGUAACGGCCCACCAAGGCGAUGAUAGGUAGCCGGCCUGAGAGGGUGGACGGCCACAAGGGGACUGAGAUACGGCCCUUACUCCUACGGGAGGCAGCAGUGGGGAAUAUUGGACAAUGGGGGCAACCCUGAUCCAGCAAUUCUGUGUGCACGAUGAAGGUUUUCGGAGUGUAAAGGGCUUUCAGCAGGGAAGAAAAAAAUGACGGUACCUGCAGAAGAAGCGACGGCUAAAUACGUG